Molecule: ribosomal RNA, 99 nt
Filed under: uncultured bacterium
Lineage: Bacteria
Description: partial 16S ribosomal RNA
Rfam family: Bacterial small subunit ribosomal RNA
Source: RNAcentral
UACACACCGCCCGUCACACCAUGGGAAUUGGAUCUACCCGAAGGUGGUGCGCCAACCGCAAGGAGGCAGCCAACCACGGUAGGUUCAGUGACUGGGGUG